CAGAGACAUCCAUGCAAACUCCACUGCAGGUGUGAACUUAACUUUGUGCCUCACUGCUCAGUAGUUCUCAGCCAUGGCAGUGGUUUUACCCACUGGACAUUGGGCCUUUUAGAGGCAUUUUUUUUUAUUUUCAAGGUAGGGAAUAUGAUUACUAAACAUCAUCAUGAUGGGCAAGCCCCUUACCAAAAACAACCCUUUGGUCUCUAAGUUUAACCAUGCUGAGGCUCAGGAACCCUGAGGUAGAUCAUACAUGCUGGGAAAAAAAAAAAACUGGUAUUUUUCUAAUUUAUUAUUUUCUCCCCAGUGCUUUAAGCACAAUGAUUGUCUCCCAGUAGUGAGGAAUGGAGGAAAGAAACAAGAGAAGGAGCAGAAUGAGACACACAGCAUAUUAUCAGAUGAAACCUAAAGCCUGUAGGCAGGAGAAUUAUUAAUUUGGACCUGAUUAUGGUGCUACUAACUCUCUGUCAAAGAGUUCUACCAUCCUUCCCAAACCUUACCAGUCCCAGGUCAGUUGUCAGUAUUGAGCCAGAUUCCCCUACUUGAACAACAGGCAAGAUUCUUCCUUAGCAGAAACCCCAUUGAGGAAGUAGUCUUUCCACCUCUUCUAUUCCAAGAAUGAAUAGUGAGUCAUUGAGGACUUCACCUGCAUUCACGUGCAUGCACAUGCUCACACACACACACACACACACAAAUUAAUAUUCAGGCCAUCAGAAUCUGCAACCCCAUGCUGGAGCUGGUGGCCUGGGGAAUUAUCUUGCCAUCUACAAGAAAAACCUUUGACUUCUGAUCCUGCACAUUCCAGAAUUUUCUGUGCAGUGUUCCACUUUCCCCUUCCAAGGUGCCAUCCGAGAGAAAAAAAGCUACAGUAAGACUCAAAGCCAGGCCACUGCCCUUUUCUCUGUACCUGAGUAGUCUGACCUUAUCC
Molecule: long non-coding RNA, 925 nt
Filed under: Marmota monax (woodchuck)
Lineage: Eukaryota; Metazoa; Chordata; Mammalia; Rodentia; Sciuridae
Source: RNAcentral